GACGAACGCUGGCGGCGUGCUUAACACAUGCAAGUCGAACGGAAAGGCCCUGCUUUUGUGGGGUGCUCGAGUGGCGAACGGGUGAGUAACACGUGAGUAACCUGCCCUUGACUUUGGGAUAACUUCAGGAAACUGGGGCUAAUACCGGAUAGGAGCUCCUGCUGCAUGGUGGGGGUUGGAAAGUUUCGGCGGUUGGGGAUGGACUCGCGGCUUAUCAGCUUGUUGGUGGGGUAGUGGCUUACCAAGGCUUUGACGGGUAGCCGGCCUGAGAGGGUGACCGGCCACAUUGGGACUGAGGUACCGCCCAGACUCCUUCGGGAGGCAGCAGUGGGGAAUAUUGCACAAUGGGCGGAAGCCUGAUUCAGCAACGCCGCGUGCGGGAUGACGGCCUUCGGGUUGUAAACCGCUUUCGCCUGUGACGAAGCGUGAGUGACGGUAAUGGGUAAAGAAGCACCGGCUAACUACGUG
RNAcentral lists this ribosomal RNA (468 nucleotides) under uncultured bacterium. Its description in RNAcentral is "partial 16S ribosomal RNA". It matches the Rfam family "Bacterial small subunit ribosomal RNA", at positions 28 to 507 of the family's 1533-position model. The record is from RNAcentral.